CCGGCGGAUGUCCGCCUGGGAGCAAGACACCGGUCUGUAAAGCCGGUCCCGAGAGGGGUGGGGGUUCGAAUCCCUCCCGCCGGA
Molecule: transfer RNA, 84 nt
Filed under: Gemmatimonadales bacterium
Lineage: Bacteria; Pseudomonadati; Gemmatimonadota; Gemmatimonadia; Gemmatimonadales
Description: tRNA-Tyr
Rfam family: tRNA
About the family: Transfer RNA (tRNA) molecules are approximately 80 nucleotides in length. Their secondary structure includes four short double-helical elements and three loops (D, anti-codon, and T loops).
Source: RNAcentral